This is a long non-coding RNA of Diachasma alloeum, 362 nucleotides long. RefSeq lists it as uncharacterized. The transcript has 2 exons. The record is from RefSeq and is a predicted model, not a curated record. Lineage: Eukaryota; Metazoa; Arthropoda; Insecta; Hymenoptera; Braconidae.
CUUCGUGCAAACAUUUCAGUCGCAAUCAAGGACUGCAGCUUGCAACUCUUGUUUAAAGUGUGAUAGAACAGAGUCUCUAUAUAAAAUUAAAAAUUUAUCAUCAUGGAAAAGGCACAAAUGUUCGCUUUGAUGCUGAUGAUGGUCGUCCUCUUCUUGGCAGCAUUGACGCCAGCUGAAGGCCUAGCUCCGCCGAUUCCCCCUCAGUGCAUUCUGUGCCGAAGCGGAUAGGAAUGGAUUGGAUUUCGUCGCACGCAUGGAUUAUAAAACGGAAAAUAAUGAUAUUCUAUGAAUUACGUGUUCUCUUCAGAAUUCCUUUAUGUAAUGAAAAAAAGGUUGAAUAAACAAAAGAAUUGAAAAAAUUA